CUAAACACGAGGAGCCUGGGCGUCAGCCGUCUGAUAAGAGGUUAAAGACUAUCAGCCGGUGCUUUUGGAUCGGGGGCAGGGCAGGGCAGGGGUGUGCGUGGUGGUAGUUUUCGCGUGGGUGGCGGGCGUUCGCGUUUGCGUGCGGAGGUGGGCGGGCGGCGGAGCACGGGCUGUCUAGGUGAGGAGGUUUAGAUGGGAGGGGCUCGCAGGGGCCGCAGGAGGGAGGUGGUCGCGGGGGGGCGGCUAGAGGCCGGCCGGGUUAGGGGGGGCGCCGGCGGUACUUAGGGAUGCGGCUGUUGGCGAUGCGGCUGGGGAGGAGGAUGGCGCUGUCCGCGUCGCUGGACCGGCGCCGGGGAUAUGAGCGGGGAGGCCAGGGGCACCGGGGGCGGGUCUUGGGGAUGCGGCGGGGCAUGUGCGGGUACCGGCGGGGGCAGCCACCGAAGCCGGUCCCGCCGCCUCCGAUGCCGCCACCGUACCCUAUGCCGCCAUCUCCGUCUCCGCCGCCGCCGCCGCCGCCACCUGGUCCACCGAAGGCACCGCCGCCACCGUCUCCGCCGUCGUUGCCCUCCCUGCCCGAGCUGAGCGAGAGGGACGGGUUCCGCCUGAAGGCCCCGGAAUAUGGCAAGCUCUUCUCGAAGAUGCACCUCACGGGGCGGCACGUCCGAUACAGCCUGUGCCUCCACCGCGUCAUGGCAGUCGAGGCCCUAUAGUGGCACCUUCCGGCCCUCCACGGGUUCGGAUAGGCGAAGAAGGUACUUCGAUUGAAAGGUCUAAUGACGUACGUUCGUUAACGAUUCAGGCCUAAACACCUCGGUUGCGGAUAGGUUCGAGUCCCUACCGGCUACCGGAACUUCCCGUCCCUACACUAACCAUAACGUCUUUGACCUAGGCCCUUUUGUGAUAGAAUGUAUGAUGGACCAAACCAAGUACAACCACGUGUCGGAGCUGAUCUUGUUCCACUACCGGGCUAACAGAACUAGGAACGGGGUUGUUCUCUUGACCGACAGGUUUAUGUCCGUCUUCGAUGUUUUAAACCUAGUAUGAGCUCUUGAUCUUCGUGUACAUAGAUGCCACCUCGUGGAUUCCCUGGUGUUUAUGCACUGGAUUCCUCUCCUCAACUUUAACAGUAACGUUGUGGUCCGGCCAACUAGCUAUACGACCUUCGACCAGUGUGUUUGGAUGCGGCCCAAUGUAUGGAACAGGACCUACUCCGUCUGGCAUACGAGCUAUACCCAAAACUUGGAGUCUAAGCUUUUUAUAACCGUGUUUAGGCAGGCCUGUCCGUUUGGAACAUGACCUCACGGUGCACCGGCUCUCUUCAACUUUGCGACCGAUCUGUUAAAGAUGUUUUGGGAAUGUUCCAUUACUAUCCUUGUCGACUUGAAUUUCGAUUGGUAAGGUAUGUCGUUUAACAACUUCAAUAGAGCCUAGUACUUUUUAUAGGGUCCGAUUCAUUUGAAAAUAGACUAGACUACCUACCCUCGGCUUAGAACUAUAAAAAAGUUUGUUUCUUCCUUACACUAUUCCAGUGAGCCGUUGAAUCUUACCUGCCUACCGGUCGUAAUAGAUAUGUACCGCUAUUUCGAGUCAGACUUUCCCUGAUACAAGACCGUCUCAAAUUUUUACCCUUCUCAGGAUAUUACCGACGGUGUCUACAUCGCCGUGCACCAGAACCAUACCACUGAACAAACUUAUAAUCCUAAUACAAUAUCAAGGUUCACGAGUCCCUACUAUUCAGCCUCCCGACAAGUCGACGAAAACCAACUCACUUGACUUGAACACCCAACCACCACAUACGCUCCACGAUAGUUCAGUCUCCAUCUAGUAGAAAAGGGAGGCAAACGGAGUGAACUCGCAUUCGUUAACCGUCACAAUGGUCCCUGAAGUCAAAGGUAGAUAGUACCACUGGUUCAACAGAUGCUAAAUCUCUGGACAAUCUGAACACCCGAAACGUAAACUCCCUCUAGGAAUUGAAUCAAAAUUUUUCCCGCGGAUAAUAAACUAAAAAAUCGUCGAAGCGAACUCGUGGAUAAUAAAUUAUACGUAGCAUUAUCAAAAGAUUGAUAGGGACCUUCUGUAGAAGACAUUCGUAACGAUUAAUAAACAACGACAGAAGAAGCCAUUCAUGGUAGGAAAUGUAUGGAAUAAUAUUUCAUGGUAGAACCAAUUGACCAUCAUCAUGUACAAAACGUAGAAUUGUAGAAGGUAACGUAACUAAGGACUCUAUUACAACGAUUAUUAAGACGUACUUGUAUAUGAUACGGAUCAAUACGUAUCCCGUGAGGAUUACGUAGUAUAGAAUUCAAUAUAAUGUAGGCAUGGUUUUAUAUUCUGUAAAAAUUUCCGAUUUGAUGGGAUGUUUUUGCAUGUAAAACUAUACCUCGAACAUAGUAGUAUAUGUAAUUUAUACACAAAUCUAUGUUGAAGGGACUACCAAAAAUAGAAUCACAACAUAGAUCUUCACGAGAGUAAAUUAUACAAAACAAUCUGUUUUUCAUAAUCAACGGGACCAAAGUCACUUUACUCGAUAUAGAUCUCAUUCUGUUCAAUUUUGAGAGAGGUACCUCGUGACACUGACGGGAAUAACCACAUUUCGUUAUUUUCGCGAGUGUGUCACACUGAACGUAUCCAUUAAUUCUAUUAAACAAGUAAGAAUAUCUUGACAUUCCUAGAGGGACGGGGGAUGUGAAUAAUGGACGAAUUAUUCACGGAGCAGACAACCAUAGUGACGGUUAACCAUAUUUCUACCAAACAUCAUAACAGUAACUUUAGGAGUUCAACUGGAGACUACUUCGUGGAUUCGUAACGCCGGAAACAACCUAACCACACCUACUGUCUAAACAAGACCAAGUGUGCCUAUAUACAACCACAACCAUGUAAUAUAACCUAUAUUUUCAGUGGGAAACAUUUUUUUCCGAACUCAAAUUCGUGGUAGUUAAGGUGUAGGUCGUCACUAACUAUGGGUCAAGUCAAGACGUCGGGGAAGCUGAACACAAUCGACAUCUACAACUUUCACUUCGGAACACGUCACAAGAAACCUAGAACAGAUUCGGUACACGAUGGAAAGACACCUCUAGCUGUUACAACUACGGGUCACACCAGGCGUCACCAUAAGUCCUUAGUCCUGAUGUGUAAAUAGAACAAACAUAUGACUACUACCAGAACAACUGAAACGUCUACACUUCCUAUAAUUCACGCACUAAUUAAAACUAAAGGGCUGUUGAUAGCUCCUAAUAUAAGUGUCCUAUCCGGCUUGACCGGCACGACCACGAUGGCCCUACCGUAAAUGCAAGAAGUGUGUAAGGUUACGUUUUAUAAGUUCCUUAGAGCAAUUCUAGAACGCGCUUCGACCCGUCCAACACUUAGGUCGCGAUCUUCGAUACAGGUUCAGGAGACCAAGAUACCCUCCUCCUCCGUUAAAGGCCAGUUCUCCGGCUCCACCCAAACCACCACCCAUACCACCAUUGGCAAGACCUAGUUUAAGGUAAGGUCAUGCAUCUUCUAUGAUUCUUUGCUUUUACUUCUAGGUAAAACUACGACCUUUUCUGCCUUGCUACUUCAAAAUAGACAUAUGUAAUCCGUAAUUUAAUUUACGUAAAAACCCCUUAAAGAAACUUUAGGACGAUGACAAUCUCUAGUUUUGUUUUCAGUAAGAAUUAUAAAAACAUGGCCUCGAGUAUACUUUCUUAGAGUACAUAGUCGCUGGAACCUCUAAUGUCAUCAAGAUAGCUUUGUCACUUGAUUCGUACAUAAAAAACACGAGUAUACAAAACAACGAAGACGUAGAGAGAUAUGACCUCCGGAAGAGAAUAAAGGG
Molecule: ribosomal RNA, 3817 nt
Filed under: Triticum aestivum (bread wheat)
Lineage: Eukaryota; Viridiplantae; Streptophyta; Magnoliopsida; Poales; Poaceae
Description: partial small subunit ribosomal RNA
Source: RNAcentral